This 520-nucleotide long non-coding RNA is filed under the name Bos indicus x Bos taurus (hybrid cattle). RNAcentral describes it as "lncRNA (ENSBIXG00005009667.1)". The record is from RNAcentral. Lineage: Eukaryota; Metazoa; Chordata; Mammalia; Artiodactyla; Bovidae.
CGCAGUAGAGAACUGAGGCUCAGUUGCCCCGAAGAUGUUCUUAGAAAUCUUUUCCUUGGGGCUGGGAAGGCUGGGAGAUUUAUACAAUGACUUCAUGCCUUUGAAGGUUGUCCCGGAUGUUAAUUCCUUUAUAUAUCCUGUUUGAUCCUCUUUGUGGUCAGAAAAUUUACAGAACCAUCAGGCAGAGAAGACAAGAACCAGAAAAAAACAAAGAAAUCGGGCUUCCCUGGUGGCUCAGUGAUGAGGAGUCUGCCUGCCAAUUCAGGAGACAGUUUCGAUCCCUGGUCCGGGAAGAUCCCACAUGCCACGCAGCAGCUAAGCCCGUGGGCCACAACUACUGAGCCUGCGCCCUGGAGCCGGGGAACCGCAACUGCUGAAGCCCUUGCACUCUAACACCUGUGCGCCGCAAAAAUAGAAGCCACUGCCAUACGCAAUCUGUGAGCCGCAACUAGGGAAAAGCCUGCACAACAACGAAGCCUGGCACUGCCAAAAAUAAAUGAACAAAAUAAUUUUUUAAGCA